RNAcentral lists this long non-coding RNA (6261 nucleotides) under Homo sapiens (human). Its description in RNAcentral is "HSALNT0095462". The record is from RNAcentral. Lineage: Eukaryota; Metazoa; Chordata; Mammalia; Primates; Hominidae.
GCACAGGCAAUGACAGUAGGGGUUGGGGGUGCCAGCAGUGGCCCUGGGGUACCUACCCAAAGGAGAAACGUUAUCUAGCUUGCAGGUAUAGUCUGAGAAAGCUUUCUAGUUUCUGAGACCUAAAGGAUGAGGAAGAAUUAGCCAUAUAAACAAGGAUAAGGUGUGGGGCUGGACAUGGAGAAUGUUCUAAGCAGAAGGAACAGGACUGAGAAGAAGCCUGGAGGCUUUGGUGUCGAGAGCAGAGGCUGGAGGGUUGACAGAGGCUGGCUUGAGAGCUUGGACUUUAUUCUGAGGGCAUUGAAGAACUACAGAAAGAUUUUAGGUUAAUCCCAUCCUGAGCCACGGAAACUGGAGCUGGGAGUUUCACCACCUUAUCACCACCAGAGAGCCUCCAAGAUCCUCCUUCCCCUCCUUCUCUCUCCUACUUCUCCCACCUCCUCCUUUUUCUCCUAGGUGCGCUCUAACUCCCUGCCUCCCUUCUACCAGGGCUCAUCAGAGCCUGAAACAUGCUGUGUGUGCAUCUGUGUAUGGAUGUAUGCGUUAGGGGGCAUGGUAUGUGUGCAAGAAGCACAAGGAGGUGCCCACCAGCCACCAUCGGGAGAUGCGCCAGAGGGCUGUGCAAGGCUGAAAGGGAUUUCAGGAGGAUUCAGAGAUUAGAGAAUUAAACAUCCUGCUACAGCCUCCCUUGAGCCUGGAAUCCUUGUGGCUCCAGCUGCAUAGAGAGCUCAGCUGGGCCAAGCCAGAGUUGCAGGGGAUUCCUGGGCUCCUUCUCUUUACCCUGCCUCCUGCUCCCCAAGGCUCCCUCAAGCCCCUUCCCAGACAGGGACCUGGGCCACAAGACGCCUCCACCCCAGGGUCCAGAUGUGCAAACCUCCCCUCAACCCAUGUGCCUCUUCCAGGCACCCUCCAGGGGUGGAGUGCGCAAGCCAGACUCUUCAGCCAGCAAUCAUCAGAAUUCCAGCCCUGGCCACAAUCACUCCUGGAAGGCACAUGUCCAUUUUUCUCCAUCUCUGCAGCCCAGGCCCAUUGACCUCCUCACUCCCCACCCUCACCCCUCUCCCUUCCAGUCCCUGCACUGAAACCAGGCAGAUGUUUCUAUAAGAACACCCAUGUCACUGCUCUCCUCAGUGUCCUACAGUGGCUCCACACUGCCCUCAGGAUAAAAGCCAAACUCCUCCACUCUGGCCUCAGCUCCCAUUGCACAAGGUCCUGGGGUCCCUGCUUGCUCUCCCCUCCAGGCCUGGGCGCUGAUGGUCUCUACUCUCAGAGUCUCCGUCACUCAUUAUCUCCAGGCAAAUCUCUCUCUGUUCCUCAGGUCUCAAUUCAGAAGUCAGCUCCUGUUGGAAGCCUCUGACUACCACUGAGGCACACCCUUUAUGGGUGUGGGUUGUCAUGGCCCCCAGGACUUAGCCUGCCAUAGCACUGACCACACUGUACUGUAAAUAAAUGCCUGCUGAACAUAUUCAGCCUCGACACCACUAUAUCAAUAAAAACUCAAUCAUGUAUUCCAAGUGUAUGAAGAAAGGAAUGAGGCAGGAGAGAGGCGGGGUGGCAGUACCGUGCUGCAGACUUCAAGUGCCAAAGACACUACUGCAUUUAUAAUAGUUGCAGCUAUUAUUGAUUGUGUGCCAAGUCCACACCAGCCACUCUGCUAAGCAUGAUCUCAUUUCAUUCCCCCAGCAACCUUGAGAGAGAGGCAUGAUUGCUAUCAUUCCCAUUUUAUAGAUAAGGAAACUGAGGCUCGGAAGGAUUAAUUUACCCAAGGUUAUACAGCCAGAAGGAGGUCCAGGCUAGAUCUUCCUAAAGGCUGGGGUAGGGGCUUUAAGGUGGGUAAAAUGCAGCCCACUGAAAAGGCCAUGUAUCACCUCUAGAUUCUCAGCAGGCCUGGAGAAGAAAUCACUAGAGUACCCCAUCUUCCCCUCACACCAGGAGAAGUUCUGCUUCUCUGGCUACCUGGUAUGAGGUUCCUGAGGACCUAGGGGGAAAGUGUAUGACCCCACCCUGGAAGCUUCCAGGAGGAGUAAGAGAAGCAAGUCCCUCGUGACGUCCUUGUUCCCACUAGUGUCUCUUUCCGAAGCAGGAUUCUGACAAGUCCGGAGUACGUCCCCUCAUCAUCAGGGCAGGAGGUAACGUGCUGAAUUUAAUAGCAAAGCAAAUUUUGCUGGAGAAGAAAUGAGAUUUCUUUGUCAAGGUGAGUGUGUCUGGGAGAGCCAGGAACAGGGUGGAGUUGGGGGAUGGGGGCACUUUGGAGGGGCUGCAAAAGGGGAGUGUGGAUCUGGAAUUAUUAGAAUGUUGAUUAUGUCCUCUUGAUUGUUAAUGAAAUUCUUCACCUUGGGUUUCUGGACCAGGGGGAAAGCUCCCAGAGCUCAUUUUGCAGCUGAUGAGAGCAAGAGAGAGGGCAGGAGGGGGCAGAAGACUCUCGGCUUAGGGAGAAAUUAAAUUCCUCCUAAACAAAUGGAACUGGACAAGUCUGACCACCACCAUGUGAAGGCAGAGCCCUAGGCUGACCUGAAGUCCCCUGUGGAAAUGGGAUGGAGACCCCUGGCUGGGUAGGGAGUGGCCAAGAGGCUUGACUCAGGCAGCAGAGUGCAGCUCCAAUAAUAAUAGCUGACAUUACUGAGUACCUUCCAUGUAGCCAGAGCAAAUGAAUGUGCAUGUAUUAUCUCAUUUAAUCCUCCCAACAACUCUUGCAGGUAGGUAGUAUGAUCGUUCCCAUUCUGCAGAUGACAACACUGAGGCACAGAGAGGACUGAAGCUUGUCCAAGCUCCCACAGCUGGAAAGUGGAGGUGCCAGUCUUUCAGCCCAGGCAGCCUGCACCAGCACCUAUCCUUUGAGAUUUGAAAGACGCUCCAGCUCUCCUACUUUCUUUUCUUUCUUUUUUUUUUAAGACAGUAUUUCUCUUGCUCUGUUACCCGGGCUGGAAUGCAGUGAUGUGAUUGUGGCUCACUGCAGCCUCAAACUCCUGGGCUCAAGCAAUCUUCCCACUCAUCUUCCAGAGUAGCAGGGACUACAGGUGUGUGCUACCAUACCUGGCUAAUUUUUUUAUUUUUAAUAAGUCAGGGUCUUGCCAUGUUGCCCAGGCUGACCUCAAACUCCUGGCCUCAAGCGAUCCUCCCACCUCAGCCUCCCAAAGUGCUGGGAUUACAGGCAUGAGGCACUAGGCCCGGGCUCUCCCACUUUCUUCACUACCUCCCUGAGCCUCAACUGCGUCAUCUGUAACAUGGGGCCAGUAAUCGUUGUCAACAUGAAGAGCUGUUGUUAGGAGCCAAUGAAAUAAAAAUAAAUUUAAAACAACUUAGUACAGAAAUAGCAUUCCCUUUGAAGCCUUGCUCUCUGCCUUCCAAAAUGGGAAGUGUCCCUUCUUAUCCGGCUGGUUGAGGACCUAUGACACAGAGGUGCUGUUCUAGGCACUGGGAAUAGAACAGUGAACAAAAUGAACAAAAAUCCCUGCCCUUGUGGAACUUACAAUUAGUGGGAGACAGACCAUAAACAAGACAAAUAAGUACAUUAUAACCUAUAUUAGAGAAGGUAAAUACAAUAGAACAAAACGAGGCAACAGAGGAGGGGUUGGAGCACUGAUUGGGAAGGGCUGCAGUUCAAACAGGGCAGUCUGAGUUGGUCUCACCAAGAAAGUGACUUGAAGGAAGCAAAAGAGUGAGCAAAUAUUCAGGAUAACAGCACUGCUCAGGAAGAGGAAACAGCAGUGCAAAGGCUCUGAGGUGGGACUGCACUGUUCGUGUUACAGGAACAGUAAGGAGGCCAGAGUAGCUGUGUUAGCAAAGGUAGCAUAGUAGGAAUUGGAGUCACAAAUUCCAGAGGAAGUGCAGCUAGUGUAGGGUCUUGAUGGUCUUUGUAAGGACUUUUAGCUUUUAUCUGAAUGAGACAAGAAUCUAUCAGAGGGUUUUAGGCAUGAUCUGAUUGAUGUUUUAAAGGUAUAGCUGGGACAGCGGUAUUGAGACUAGACUAUAGGGGGCCAAGGGCAGAAGCAGAGAGGAGAGUUAGGAAGCUAUUGCAAAAACCCAGGUGAGAGUAGGUGGCAGCUUAGUUCAGGGAGGUAGUGACACAGAUGAUGCUGAAGUCUGAUUCUGGAUGUAUUGCGAAAGGGAAAGCCCCCAGGAUGAGCUGAUCAUCAAAAGUGAGGAAUGGGAGAAAGAAGCAAUCACCGCGGAUGAUUCUGAGGAUUUUACCCCUUCCACCUCUCAAUUCCUGAAGACCCAUCCCUUCCUUUUAAAAUCCAACUCUGGCCGGGCAUGCUGGCUCACGCCUGUAAUCCCAGCACUUUGGAAGGCCAAGACGGGCAGAUCACGAGGUCAAGAGAUCGAGACCAUCCUGGCCAAUGUGGUGAAACCCCAUCUUUACCAAAAAUACAAAAAUUAGCCGGGCGCGGUGGUGCACACCUGUAGUCCCAGCUACUCAGGAGGCUGGGGCAGGAGAAUCACUAGAAGCUGGGAGGCAGAGGUUGCAGUAGCCGAGGUUGAGCCAUUGCAUUCCAGCCUGGCGACAGAGCAAGGCUCCGUCUCAAAAAAAAAAAAAAAAAAAAUUCCAGCCCCCUCUCUCGGGGCUCUAUUGGAGAUCCACUGCUUUCAUCCCUCUCUCUUUCCAUUGUCCAGGCAUUUGCCUUACAGAGCCCAGGGCAGAGGACCCUGGUCAAACAACUUGACCCAGGGUAUAAAUCUGCCUCAUGGCCUUCUGGGGCUCCCCCAGUCCUUACCCUGGCUCAGAAGGUCCCAUCACAGUCUGCCGUCCACCUCAGCAGCCCCUCAAGGUCCCUUGCUCCUCCUGACUGCAGUACCCCUUUUCUCGCUCCCUGGAACUGCCUCUGCUCUUCUAUCUCACACAGCUGCCCACCAUGCUGCCCUCAGGUCUCAGUGGGAGCAUCACCACCCCUGGGAAACCUUCCCUGACCUGCUAUUCUGGAGGAAGCCCCUGAUUCCAGGCUCUCAAGCCCUGAGCCUCUACCACAGGGUUGCGUGUCUCUUUCCUUGUGUGAUUAUUUGAUGAAAGCCUGUCUCCCCACGUGACUAUAACCUCCAUAAAGGCAGGGCCCACCUGUAUCGCUAGAAGCAGACAAUUCACCAAAAGAGACAUUCAGUGGAUCUGACUUGGAUCCUUAGGCUUUUGGUAAAUUAACUUUCAUUGACCUAAAGCCUCCAGCUGCUAGGUAAAUGUCUGGCACAUAGCAGGUACUUCACAUAUAUUUAUUGAAGGAAUGAAUCAGAGUUCUCUAAGAUCUUGGGCAUGUGACAAACUUCCUGAGCCUCAGUUUCCCCAUAUGUAAGGAUGGGAAUAAGAAUACCUAUCUCAUGAGUCAUUGUGAGAAUUAAAAAACCUACGGCAUGAGCAAUGCCUCACACUAGUAGAUGCUCAAUAAUUGUUCCAAUGCAUGUUCAGACAAUUACCACCUUACAACUCCCCUGUGCUUCCCCUCCCCUCCCCCACUCCCUCUCAUCCCUCCUUCCAUUCUCCAGCCUCCUCCCCUCCCCACCCUUCCCCUCCUAAGGACUCCCAGAUGUGGAAUCACCAAAGCCUCUGAACGUUCCCCUUCUCCCCCAAGAUCCCCCAAUGCGCCACUGGUUACAUAUUGAUCCUGUUUAACUUUCCCAAUGGAUGAUAAACAUGAAAUUAAAAUGACUUCCUGGAAUAUUAAUGUAGUAAAUGGCCCUAUUAAAAGAAAGAAAAUACAGCUGAGAAAAUUCGCUUUGAUGUAGCGUUUCUGCAGGAGGCUCAUUUAUCUGCAGCUCAGACUCUCAAAAUGAGAUUCUGAAGGUUUCUCUGAUGUCUCUUAUUUUUCCCUCACCCAGAAUUUAAACAGAAAAUAGAAUCACAAGCUAGUGUCAUAAAACGUGGGCCUUUUCCCUUCUCCACCAAAAAGCAAAUGAAAACAGGGCCAGGUUGAUGUCAGUCUCUGCAAACAUGGGGCUGAGGACUCACCUGCUCCUCCCAAUCUCCUCUGUAUCUUGCUCACUGGGGCCUGGUCCAGGCUGCCAGGCCGGCUGCCUAGAUUCAGCAGGGGUUCCCAGAAGCCUGUGCUGCUACUGCUGCUGCUGAAGUUAGGAAAGUUGCCUCAGAGCUGGGUGCAGUGGCUCACGUCUGUAAUCCCAACACUUUGGGAGCCUGAGGCAGGUGGAUUAUCUGAGGUCAGGAGUUCGAGACCAGCCUGACCAACAUGGUGAAACCCUGUCUCUACUAAAAAUACAAAAAAAAAAAAAGCUGGGCCUGGUGGCAGGUGCCUGUAAUCCCAGCUACUCAGGAGGCUGAGG